AAUAAGCCGAUGUAGUCUGGAAUAUUAUAACUACACAAGAUGAAGUAAAAUAUGCAUCAGGAAGCAGCGACGAUAACUAUUGUGGGGACACUUUAAUAUAAAGAAGUGAAACUUCAGCUGCUGGAGCAGUAUUGAAUUUUCAUUAAAAACAAUUAGUUGGUCCUUUAUUUAAGGCAAGUGACCGAUUGCCCAAACAGUACAAAACAGCACAAUACAAACCAACAUAAACACAAAAUAUGAAUAAAGCUGGGGUCUCCGGCUUGGAACGGUCAAUGCAAAGCAUUGGGGGUUUUAACCUGGUUAUAGAGCGCUCAACCUCACACUUGGCCCAGCAAUAUUCAUAAUACAUUUAAGUGUAAAUAAAAUUUAACGUUAUAGCAUUGUAACUCAAAUUAAACAAUAAUAAAAGGGAAUUAAAACGCAUUCAAUUUAAUUACUAUUUAAUUACUCAAUUGCAUUGAAGAUACAAGAGUAACAGAGCUACAACUUUUUGACGAACGAUCAAAUAAAACUAUUAACAAUUGUCAACUACAUUCCUUCUUUAUAGAAAAUGAUUUGAGAAUAUAGCGUCAUGGAGUUAAUAUCUCAGAUAAUCAUCGCGCAAAUACAGGAAGAAGCAGCAUUACAAAAGAAUCUUUUUAAUCAAACGCCUCUCCAACCGUUUUCAAGAUGAGAGACCACAACUUAUCUGACCAACUACUUGAAGAUGAUUGUAUAAUUACCUAUAAACCGCAUAUUUGUCUGCUGGGAUCCCCUCUAGCGUGAGUGUAACAACGGGUUAUUCACUUCGUUAUUCUGACAACGCAGUGUUCCAUGUAAAAUCUCAGCUCAUUUCACGAUCCUUCCUACACAUUAACUAUAAACUUAUGGAUUAUUUUCCAACUACGUUACUAUGACGGUGAGCAAAUGCCUUAUAUUCUUCAUGUACGUUUGCGAAUGCAUUGCAGCAACAUUUGUACGCGAAAAUUUGAACGCAAACGAAAAAAGUCCAUAUUUGCCAUUUGGUGAGAUUUAAAAAACAAAUAAGUAUUUCUCCACUUGCAAAAUGUAUACUGAAAAUGAGUUAUCCAAAUUGACGAUAUCUCCCGCUUUAACCAUAACUAUGCAAAUAAUUCUCUUUGGUGUGUAAAUGUGGAUCAUACGAAGCAAAUUAAUUGAUAUUCCAGCAUGUUAAGUCUUUCAACUGAGAUUGUUAUAGACUUUAAAGAUACUCUUUAUCAUGAACAGACCAUAUUCUGCUAACAAUUCGCCAUCAUGAAACUGCUUUUCGCAGUUUCUAAAAUUCUUCUACUUUUAUCUCUUUCAAACUCCUAAAUUUGAAAACUCUUCUACUUUAAUCUCGUUCUAACUUCGUUGAGCAAUAUAUAAAUUAAUGCUGAUGAAUGUAAACGUUUUCCCUUUUUGCGUUCUACAUUAUCCUGUUACUCUUUUUCUAUAUUGACUAAUAAAAUUACCCAUUCUCUAAACCGUUUUAAUGUUAUAAAAAUGUUUUUAUAGGUUUUGACAUCUCUAUAAAUUAUAUUUAGCAGGUUUCACCAUAUAAGCAGCAUUAACAACGGGCAGAAUAGAGACCUGGCAUAACCUGAAGCCUUUUUCUCGAUUAGUUCAAAAUUUGACGGCAACUGGACUGAUUGGUCAACUUGGUCAGCGUGUGCAAUCACGUGUGGUAAUAACACGCAAACAAGAACAAGAACAUGUACUAAUCCUCCACCUUCCCACAACGGUACGGACUGUGAAGGGACUACUGAUGAUUACCAGCCAUGUCUUCGAGAUCCUUGUCCAGUUUACGGUAACUGGAGUGAUUGGUCAAGUUGGUCAGCGUGCUCUGUAACAUGUGGAAGCGCCACGCAAUCUAGAAUAAGAACUUGUACAAAACCUCCACCUUCACACAACGGCACAGAGUGUGAAGGUUCACCAGAGGAUUAUAAGUCCUGCAUACAUGAACCCUGUCGAGGCUGGGGACAGUGAAGUGAAUGAGGAUCAUGUUCGUCGACUUACGGUGUAGGAAUACAACAUCGAAACAGGUUUUGUUACACGCCCAUCUUCGCAAGUAUAGAUGAUCUCUGUGUUGGCGAUUAUGCAGCCGUACACAUAUGUAUUUCAAGCGCAUUCGCAGAUGGUGGAUGGACCACGUGGUUAUCUUGGAGCACGUGUUCAGUCACGUGCAAUAUUGGACUUACCAGGCGAACGCGGGCCUGUACAAAUCCUACACCUCUCCCUUUUGGUCAUCAAUUUGAAGGACCAAAUAUUGAUCUUGCUAUAAUUGCUACAAUCAGCACUUCCCUACAAUAGUCCGUUUGCAUUCUGGCCUUCUGGAAAUUUACGUAAAUGGUCAAUAGGGAACCGUGUGUGAUGAUGACUUUGACGCAAGUGAUGCCCAAGUGGCUUGCAGAAUGCUUGGUUUCAAUAAUACACAGCUACAAAAAUAACUCCUCCAGUAAAAGGGUACGAGUCAAUGCCGAUCUGGCUGGAUAAUCUUAAUUGUACAGGAAAUGAAGAUUCCUUACUGGAGUGUUCCCAUAGGAGAGUAGGUUCCCAUGAUUGAAAACACAGUAAAGACGUUGGUGUUGUCUGCUGAGGGACCAACAUAAAUGAAUGCUCCAUUAUGAGCACUACCACACGUUGACAGAACAGGCGAUCAUAUGAAGAUAUAACAUAUGAGUUUGUGGAACGAAUUUGUGUUAACUCUAGCAUAGAGAUUGGUUGACCUAACUUGCGAAUAUAUUUGUUAAUACAUAAGUUUUUCAUGAAACACUUUUUUAAACAAAAUGCAACUGUUAAAUAAAGCUGCAUAUUUUGGCUCUGCAUUAGUGAAAGUAAUGAACGCAGGUUCAAAAGUUCAAUAUGGGUUGUCGGGCAUUAUACGUCAAGUAAUUUUAUAGGAGACUCGUUCUUUUCUAAAUUAAGUGAUUUGGAUCGCAGCCACUAAUAUAUUUAUUUUACAAGACACAGUGUUAAGUGAAAUGAUAUAAUGAAGUUAAUGUGUGAGUGGUUUAUGUCAUGGGUAUAUGUCUUGAAUUGCGAUAAAGCUAUUAGUAUUCCAUUUAAAAGCUUUAUACAUGAUGAACCA
Molecule: long non-coding RNA, 3070 nt
Organism: Dreissena polymorpha
Lineage: Eukaryota; Metazoa; Mollusca; Bivalvia; Myida; Dreissenidae
Exons: 7
Source: RefSeq, a predicted model, not a curated record